RNAcentral lists this transfer RNA (69 nucleotides) under Ictidomys tridecemlineatus (thirteen-lined ground squirrel). Its description in RNAcentral is "Spermophilus tridecemlineatus (thirteen-lined ground squirrel) tRNA". It matches the Rfam family "tRNA". Rfam says of the family: Transfer RNA (tRNA) molecules are approximately 80 nucleotides in length. Their secondary structure includes four short double-helical elements and three loops (D, anti-codon, and T loops). Lineage: Eukaryota; Metazoa; Chordata; Mammalia; Rodentia; Sciuridae. The record is from Rfam by way of RNAcentral.
GGGGUUGUAGCUCAGUGAUAGAGCACUUGCCUUGCAUGCUUGAGGUCCUGGGUUCAAUCCUCAGCACCA